RNAcentral lists this ribosomal RNA (492 nucleotides) under uncultured bacterium. RNAcentral's name for it is "partial 16S ribosomal RNA". It matches the Rfam family "Bacterial small subunit ribosomal RNA", at positions 29 to 507 of the family's 1533-position model. The record is from RNAcentral.
AGUGAACGCUGGCGGUAGGCCUAACACAUGCAAGUCGAACGGCAGCACAGUAAGAGCUUGCUCUUACGGGUGGCGAGUGGCGGACGGGUGAGGAAUACAUCGGAAUCUACUUUUUCGUGGGGGACAACGUAGGGAAACUUACGCUAAUACUGCAUACGACCUACGGGUGAAAGCAGGGGAUCUUCGGACCUUGCGCGAUUGAAUGAGCCGAUGUCGGAUUAGCUAGUUGGCGGGGUAAAGGCCCACCAAGGCGACGAUCCGUAGCUGGUCUGAGAGGAUGAUCAGCCACACUGGAACUGAGACACGGUCCAGACUCCUACGGGAGGCAGCAGUGGGGAAUAUUGGACAAUGGGCGCAAGCCUGAUCCAGCCAUACCGCGUGGGUGAAGAAGACCUUCGGGUUGUAAAGCCCUUUUGUUGGGAAAGAAAAGCAGCAGGUUAAUACCCCGCUGUUCUGACGGUACCCAAAGAAUAAGCACCGGCUAACUUCGUG